Molecule: ribosomal RNA, 468 nt
Filed under: uncultured bacterium
Lineage: Bacteria
Description: partial 16S ribosomal RNA
Rfam family: Bacterial small subunit ribosomal RNA
Source: RNAcentral
GACGAACGCUGGCGGCGUGCUUAACACAUGCAAGUCGAACGGAAAGGCCCUGCUUUUGUGGGGUGCUCGAGUGGCGAACGGGUGAGUAACACGUGAGUAACCUGCCCUUGACUUUGGGAUAACUUCAGGAAACUGGGGCUAAUACCGGAUAGGAGCUCCUGCUGCAUGGUGGGGGUUGGAAAGUUUCGGCGGUUGGGGAUGGACUCGCGGCUUAUCAGCUUGUUGGUGGGGUAGUGGCUUACCAAGGCUUUGACGGGUAGCCGGCCUGAGAGGGUGACCGGCCACAAUGGGACUGAGGAACGGCCCAGACUCCUACGGGAGGCAGCAGUGGGGAAUAUUGCACAAUGGGCGGAAGCCUGAUGCAGCAACGCCGCGUGCGGGAUGACGGCCUUCGGGUUGUAAACCGCUUUCGCCUGUGACGAAGCGUGAGUGACGGUAAUGGGUAAAGAAGCACCGGCUAACUACGUG